This 200-nucleotide microRNA precursor is filed under the name Brachypodium distachyon (stiff brome). RNAcentral describes it as "MIR1435 microRNA precursor family". It matches the Rfam family "MIR1435 microRNA precursor family". The record is from Rfam by way of RNAcentral. Lineage: Eukaryota; Viridiplantae; Streptophyta; Magnoliopsida; Poales; Poaceae.
AAACUUUGUCCUAAGUCAAACUUCUUAAAAUUUGACCAACUUUAUAAAACAAUUUAUCAACAUCUAGAAUAUCAAUUAGGUAUACUAUGAUAAUAUAUAUCAUGAUGGAUGUAAUUAAACUAAUUUGGAGUCAUAAAUGUUGGUAGAUUUUUCUGUAAAUUUGGUCAAAGUUUCAGAAGUUUGACUUAGGACAAAGUUAG